UAACAAGAUGAAUGCUGAAGUCAUUGCAGAUGUCUUCAUCAGAAGCUCAUUCUAUCACAUACACAGUCUACUUUUAUUUAUUGUAUCAGAUAGAGACAGUCAGUUCAUGAGUGCACUUUGAAUCUGUGUAUACCAGCUACUGAGAAUUGAGUGAAAAUUGUCAAUAGCAUAUCACUCAGAGAUCAAUGAAGCCACUGAGAGAAUGAUACAGAUAGUUAAGAACAUUCUUCAAAAGUUCUGCAACUACACAUAAGAUGACUGAAGCAAUCUGCUGCCACAUGCUGAGAUUGCCAUAAACAGCUGAGAUUCUGCUACAAUAGAUGUAAGUCUAUUUUUUCUUCUACACAGUUAUGAUUUAGAGAUUCUGAACUUCUCUGAGAUCUCUCAAGAAAUCACAUACAUCCACAGUCCCAUACAGAUGGCAGAGAAUAUAGUUAGCAAGCUCAAGAAAGCUCACAAGUGGGCCAAAGCUUCAAUGGUCAGUGCUCAACAAGACUAUGAGAAUCAAGUGAACAUCAGAAGGAGUUCUGCAAUCUGUUACAGUAUAGAAGAUAAGAUCUGAUUAGAUCUCAAGAAUAUAAGAACAGAUCACUUCUCACAUACACUGAACUACCAUCACAUCAAAUAUACAGUAGUAGAAGUGCUAGGCAUCCACAACUAUCAACUGAACACCUCAUCUGGCAUCCACAAUGUCUUUCAUAUAAACCUGCUCCAACCCACAGUCAAGAAUCCAUUCUCUUCACAAAAGAUCUUCAACUGACAACCAUCUGUCAUUAUAGAAGAAGACAAUGAACUCAAAUGAGAAAUUGAAGCAAUUCUCAGCAAUAGAAUCAAUCACUGCCACUGUGAAUACUUUGUCAAAUGGGUAGGAUACAAUUGUUCAACCUGGGAACCCACAUCCAUCA
This 905-nucleotide small RNA is filed under the name Histoplasma capsulatum. RNAcentral's name for it is "hypothetical RNA". RNAcentral also lists the same sequence under 1 other name. The record is from RNAcentral. Lineage: Eukaryota; Fungi; Ascomycota; Eurotiomycetes; Onygenales; Ajellomycetaceae.